This 672-nucleotide long non-coding RNA is filed under the name Equus caballus (horse). Its description in RNAcentral is "lncRNA (ENSECAG00000054360.1)". Lineage: Eukaryota; Metazoa; Chordata; Mammalia; Perissodactyla; Equidae. The record is from RNAcentral.
CAGGCUCCGGCCACGUUUCAGCACUGACACCCCAACACCCUGGGACCUGACCCUCGCUCCUCUGCUGUGACGGACGCUCGGGUUAUAGCCAGGCCACAGUAAAAUGCAGCCCCGGGUGCGGCCCCCCUUCUGCACACCCACCCCGCCAUGGCGCCGGGGACCGACGUGAGGGACGGCGAGAGGAUCGCUUGAUAGUCACAAGAGGUUCACGCAGCCACCAGGCCUCUCGCCUGCCUCCACCCCUGCCCGGGUCGAAGCCACUCGCCCCACAGACAAGCUGGAUCACACCCACAUGGACCACAUCACGGGCGCCUCCAUCCGGGUUCCAGGAGGGAGGAAGGAGCACAGACCCCGGCCUGACUGUGAACCGUGAACGCCACCACCAGACACAGACACAGCCUCGUGCUGGUCACCGCUGGCCUGGCUGCAGGGAGCUUCCGUCCCCAGCCAGAUGAAGCCCUGAGCCAAAAACACGUGCCCCUCGUCUGAGAUGUGAGUUUUAGGAUGAACUAAGCCGGCGAGAAGGAGGGAAGCCCCUCCUGGAAGACAGAGUCUCGGGGGAGAUGGACCAGCCAGGAGGGGCUGACCCUGAUGGUGGGAGAGGGGCAGGAAUGGGGGAGGGCACGUCACCACCACCACCAUCAUCAUCAGAACAACAACUAAGGAUCAUCA